UACGAAGGGUGCAAGCGUUAAUCGGAAUUACUGGGCGUAAAGCGCGCGUAGGUGGUUCAGCAAGUUGGAUGUGAAAGCCCUGGGCUCAACCUGGGAACUGCAUCCAAAACUACUGAGCUAGAGUACGGUAGAGGGUAGUGGAAUUUCCUGUGUAGCGGUGAAAUGCGUAGAUAUUGGGAGGAACACCAGUGGCGAAGGCGGCUCACUGGACCGGUUCUGACGCUGAGGCGCGAAAGCGUGGGGAGCAAACGGG
This 253-nucleotide ribosomal RNA is filed under the name uncultured prokaryote. RNAcentral describes it as "partial 16S ribosomal RNA". It matches the Rfam family "Bacterial small subunit ribosomal RNA", at positions 524 to 776 of the family's 1533-position model. The record is from RNAcentral.